This 224-nucleotide ribosomal RNA is filed under the name uncultured bacterium. Its description in RNAcentral is "partial 16S ribosomal RNA". It matches the Rfam family "Bacterial small subunit ribosomal RNA", at positions 15 to 230 of the family's 1533-position model. The record is from RNAcentral.
GAUCCUGGCUCAGGAUGAACGCUAGCUACAGGCUUAACACAUGCAAGUCGAGGGGCAGCAUGAACUUAGCUUGCUAAGUUUGAUGGCGACCGGCGCACGGGUGAGUAACACGUAUCCAACCUGCCGUCUACUCUUGGACAGCCUUCUGAAAGGAAGAUUAAUACAAGAUGGCAUCAUGAGUCCGCAUGUUCACAUGAUUAAAGGUAUUCCGGUGGACGAUGGGG